UAAUUAUCAUUACAAUACAAUCAAAAUCAUAGACUCCUAAAUUUUGCCAACAACCAAAACAAACGAACAUUGAUGGGCUGCUGAAAUAGAAAUUUUAUUAAAAAAGAAAGAAAAAAACAGAGGGAAAAAGGACUAAAAAACCCUUGAAAGCACAAACGCUAACAAAGGGCGAAUCUCAAAGGAUCCGUCAAAAAGCAAAAAUAAAAACCACGUGAAAACACUCGCAAAGGACCAUGGGAAGUCGAAACAAAGAAAACGAAAACUAAGAGGAGGCGUCCUCGUCUUCAUCACCCUCGUCGUCCAACAUAUCUCCC
RNAcentral lists this long non-coding RNA (314 nucleotides) under Salvia miltiorrhiza (redroot sage). RNAcentral describes it as "long non-coding RNA (SMIL_LNC009655)". Lineage: Eukaryota; Viridiplantae; Streptophyta; Magnoliopsida; Lamiales; Lamiaceae. The record is from RNAcentral.